Molecule: long non-coding RNA, 2376 nt
Filed under: Homo sapiens (human)
Lineage: Eukaryota; Metazoa; Chordata; Mammalia; Primates; Hominidae
Description: HSALNT0116802
Source: RNAcentral
CCUCACUGCCUCCUCCCCAUCCCCUACCCCUAGAGGCCUCCUGCCCUGGUCACCUACGCGUCACCUAAGCCCCGAGGCCAGGCGGCUUCUUGUCUACUAAAGACUUCCGGAGAGAGGCAUUCACCCUGUGGUCAGAGCUGGGGUUUCCAUGGAGGAGCACCACAGCCAUAAAGAAAGUUAUGGAGGCUGUGAAGUGCAAGGUCAAGAGGCUGCAUCUGGUGAAGACCUUCUUGCUGGUAGGGUCUCUCUACCUGGUCCUGAGGCAGUCCAGGGCAUCACAUGGCUGGUGAGCCCCAGAGCGGAGGACCCUGCCGAGCUGUUUCCAGACUCCUGAUCCACAGAAACCGUGAGAGGAUAACAUUGUUCUGCUUGAAGCCACUACACCUGCCGUCACUUGUCUCGCAUCAUUAGGGAACCAACGUGCUCUGGAAGACAGCAACUCUCAGGGUCCAUUCCGCUGACACCAGCGCCUCAGAUGACACAGGACGUGGCAUGGUGGCUAUUGACUCAUCAAGGGAACAGCAAUGGCCACUCUGCACCUUGCAUUCCUAUCCUUUUUUGGGCUUCAGAUCAGAAAUCGCAACUUUUGCGUGGAGAUCCUGGGCCUCCACACUGCUGGCCUCCCAUCGUCCCAAGAAUGACUCCCUGGAAAGAGCCUGUUCAGACCCUUUGUGACUGGACUCUACUGUAAGAGGAGAAUCAAAUGCUUGCAAGAAAACUGUAAAGCAGAGUUUCCUAAAAUACAUUUCAUAAGCGUGAGUGCCAGGAGUGCCUUAAAAAUGUGACUCUAUUGUCAAAUAAGUUGGGCAAUUUACUGAAGUAUACAUGAAUAUGUUAAAACCUCCAAGGAGUCCUGAAUUUAAAACAAACCUACACACAAAAACAAAGGGUGCCUGCUCGCUCAUCACACAGGUUGGAUAAGAUCGACAGGAAAAACCCCUCCAACAGCACAGCAGAGCAGCACAGAGCCCUGCCUCUCUCCAGCUGGGGAAGUCGGGAGCUGAAGUGGAAAGCUGGUUGAAGAACAAUGUGAAAAAAAUGAGGCCUGACUCAAUUCCUAAAAGCGGCUGCCUGACCUUAUGCAAGCCACAGCUUCUAUUUACAAACCCAGGAAACUGGACAAAAUACUGAAAGGAUCCCCUAAGAUAAUGAGAGUUAACAACAGAUGCAAAGCAAGGUUCUGUGGAAAUGUAAGGUCGUGUUACCACGCAGGGCUGAAAAGCUUUCCUGACUACUUUCUGAUUUGCGUAUACUAAGGACUAUUUCAAGAGGGUGACAUUUUAUGAAUUAAAGGCAUGCCACUUCCAUUCACAGUGCUGUUCUGAGAGAUUCGAUUCUGUCCUUGACAAUCUAAGAAAAUCUUAACUCUGCAUUAUGUAAAUACUAAGGACACGGGGUGUUUCGAAUGAGACCAACCUCGUAUCUCUCUCAACUCCCUCUCCUCCCGGGGCCACCCUUUUCUUUAAUUGAAAGCACAAUAAACUUAAUCAGCUGCUCCUAACGAUGCCUGCCCCAGCCUGGGAGAUUCAGCAAGGCUUGGGGCGUGCAUGACAAAGAAACACACACUCCAGAAUCUCACUUUUGUUAUUCCCCAGCCAUCUUUUGUUAUGUGGCAUGGGAAAAAUCUUAAUGAGCCUGCCCUGCUGCUGCAGAAAUUCUUGUCAGAUGAAAAGCAGCCCCUCCUUCCACCUGGCAAGGGCUUACAGAGAACACAGCAGCCCACAUCUACUCACGUUUCCUGAAACAAUCCCCUAUUUAACUUCCUAGGCAACAGAAAAUCUGAAGAAAAUGAGAUACCACAGAAGAUGAAUUUGAUGUAACAAAAAGGUGUUUUAAAAAGAUAAGUAGAGAGGCCAUCCUACAAAAUUUCAUGGCUGACAAUGGUAAAAAAGAUGCAGAAAAGGACCAUCUGGCCUGAAAAAUUCAGCCGGGGUCGGGGGAGGGGGUCCCGCAGCAGAGGCCAGGCCUUCAAGGAUGGGGAUCCUCUUCUGUCUUCCUUUUCUCAAAAUGUUUGUUGGAUGAUGGACUUAAUUUUAAAACCCCAAGUCACUGCGGUUUAGCCAGCUAUGGAUGAUGAAAGCACUACAAUCAUUGAAACUGACAAGGAGGCAGUUUCCUUCAAAAAUACGAAAACUGUACGCAGAGUACAUGGAGAAAAAUGUGACACAAGCAUUUGGACACACUACUAAACAACAACAUGGGACAAUAUAGACAACAAUUGGAAAUACACUUUGAGGAGGUAAAAAGUUCAGUAUUCACUGGCUUCCUUUUGGAGGUUGUUAAAUUGCUGAAAUUCAAAUAAAAGUCAUUGAGCCAUUGUGUCUGUCAGCUGUGCCUCUAUCUCACCCCCGGGUGGGUGGAGGUCCCCCUGGCUUU